UCUAAAUUAAGUUAUAAUAAUAAUAAUAAUAAUAAAAUCCCUCAUCCUCUACUUCGUUCACCACCUACGCAAAACUAAAAUGAACAACUGCCACCGUUGACCACCCAAAUUCGGCAACUCCGAUGACACCCACGGUUGUGCACCGUUUCCAGCCCAUUCGUCUUACCUAGGUGCUCCAAUUCAUGGGGAGAUAUCAUUAAAAGCAAACACUGAUUAUACAAGUUUGCCUCGAGAGCAAGACGAGGCAAUUUUGUCUCCUUCGAUUAAUGGGUUUGGGAACGGUUUUUCAUAAAAUUGGCAACAUAUGAAUCAUUAGCAGCAUCACAUGACAACUAGUAUUUCCUCAACUGCUCCAAUUAAUGUCCUUAAUUGACGCAAUUUUGGAUUCUAAUUCUGCCUUAAAUCGCACGCGAACUAAGGAAAUUCUUUCUCUUCCACUUAACGAAACUGGAGCUCUUUUUCCACCAAAUCGGCAACCCAUAAUCCCUCAGCAACAAUGAAAAAUGAUGGGUAUACCCUCAAUUGAUCCAAUUGUGUCACAAAUUGCUCCAAUUUUGACUUCAAAUUCUAUCCGAUUCCAUAUACAAAUGAGGUUUCAAUUUCUUCAAUUUUCUAUUGGGUUUGAAUUGAUUUUUGGUUUUGAUAUUUGGGUAGUGGCAACUGCCUUUGGGAGAUGGUGCCAACGUUGUAGGCGACUGUGGUGACGGCCUUUGUGCACACCAGCGUGGGUGAGAGUCGGGAAAGAAGCUGCCGACCACUGGCUUUUUAAUUUUUCAUGAGCAUAGGGUGGAGUAGGGUAGGAUAGUGGGGUCGAGGGGGUUGGGUAAGUUUCUUUUAUUUUUUUGGUUUUUAU
RNAcentral lists this long non-coding RNA (853 nucleotides) under Olea europaea subsp. europaea. The record is from RNAcentral. Lineage: Eukaryota; Viridiplantae; Streptophyta; Magnoliopsida; Lamiales; Oleaceae.